RNAcentral lists this long non-coding RNA (1044 nucleotides) under Marmota monax (woodchuck). Lineage: Eukaryota; Metazoa; Chordata; Mammalia; Rodentia; Sciuridae. The record is from RNAcentral.
GUUGUAAGAAACUGAUGUGACUCCAUUUUUGAAAAUAAAUAAACAGGGGCUGGGGUUGUGGUUCAGCGGUAGAGCACAAGGCCCUGGGUUCCAUCCUCAGCACCAUAUACAAAUAAUAAAUAAAUAAAUAAUAAAGUCUAAAAAAAUUUGUAAAAGAAAAUAAAUAAAUAACAGCAGCUUCUACCUCAAGGCCUGUCCUAAGGAAGGGGGCGUGACCCUUGUCCUUGGAAAAACCCACAGAGCCUUUCUAGGCUCCCUGCUGAGUUGUUUGUCUGUAAAUAAUAAGAUCUGCUGCACCAGGUGUCCCUGACUGGGUCAGGCUAGGUGAGGACCCAUAGCAACCCCCUAGCAACCACCAAUCAGCAUGAGACAGGGAAAAUACCUGGGAUGCCAGGUGACCCCCCAGUAGUUUACAGUGAUUGGUAACAUGUUGGGAAACCAUGUCAUUUAGCAAGUACACCCCUCGAGGCUUAAACCAAUCAGUUCAAAGGAACCCCCCUCUUGUACUAGCCAAUCACCUUUACCCAUCUUGUUCCCGCCAGUGAAUGUGCUAAUCAAUGUUAAGAGUUGUUGUUUGAUUUUCCCAUGGUAUGGAUAGAGUAUCCCCACAAAACCUAUAAAAUCUCCCUGGACAAAGGACUGGGAUCACUGUGUUGGGAACCGUUGUUGUGAGUCCAGGCUUGAGCUUGCAAUAAAGACUCUUGUGUGAUUGCAUUGGAUUCGGCUCCUGGAGGUCUAUUGGGGUCCCACGAAUCUGGCAUUACAGUUGAUUUAUUUUAUUCAUUUAUAUGUGGUGCUGAGAAUCGAACUCACACAUGCCAGGCAAGUGCAUUACCGCUGAACCACAACCCCAGCCCCUGCCAUAUUUUAAUCACUCUGGUUCAACCCAUGGGCUACCACUGAACUACACCCCAAACCAUUUUGAAAAUUUAUUUUGAGACAGGUUCUUGCUGAAUUGCCCAAGCUGUCCUGAAAUUUGGGAUCCUCCUGCCUAAGCCUCCUGGGAGGGUGGGAUUACUAAAGGCAUGCACCAUCGCUCUGGGC